GACGAACGCUGGCGGCGUGCUUAACACAUGCAAGUCGAACGGAAAGGCCCUGCUUUUGUGGGGUGCUCGAGUGGCGAACGGGUGAGUAACACGUGAGUAACCUGCCCUUGACUUUGGGAUAACUUCAGGAAACUGGGGCUAAUACAGGAUAGGAGCUCCUGCUGCAUGGUGGGGGUUGGAAAGUUUCGGCGGUUGGGGAUGGACUCGCGGCUUAUCCGCUUGUUGGUGGGGUAGUGGCUUACCAAGGCUUUGACGGGUAGCCGGCCUGAGAGGGUGACCGGCCACAUUGGGACGGGGAUGCGGCCCAGACUCCUACGGGAGGCAGCAGUGGAGAAGAGUGCACUAUGGGCGGAGGCCUGAUGCAGCAACGCCGCGUGCGGGAUGACGGCCUUCGGUUUGUAAACCGCUUUCGCCUGUGACGAAGCGUGAGUGACGGUAAUGGGUAAAGAAGCACCGGCUAACUACGUG
RNAcentral lists this ribosomal RNA (468 nucleotides) under uncultured bacterium. Its description in RNAcentral is "partial 16S ribosomal RNA". It matches the Rfam family "Bacterial small subunit ribosomal RNA", at positions 28 to 507 of the family's 1533-position model. The record is from RNAcentral.